RNAcentral lists this ribosomal RNA (433 nucleotides) under uncultured bacterium. RNAcentral's name for it is "partial 16S ribosomal RNA". It matches the Rfam family "Bacterial small subunit ribosomal RNA", at positions 29 to 507 of the family's 1533-position model. The record is from RNAcentral.
AACGAACGCUGGCGGCAGGCCUAACACAUGCAAGUCGAGCGAGAACUUCGGGUCUAGCGGCGGACGGGGGAGUAACGCGUGGGAAUAUGACCUUCUCUGCGGAAUAGCCUCGGGAAACUGAGCGUAAUACCGCAUACGCCCUAUGGGGGAAAGAUUUAUCGGAGAAGGAUGAGCCCGCGUUGGAUUCGGUAGUUGGUGGGGUAACGGCCUACCAAGCGGCCAAUCCAUAGCUGGUUUGAGAGGAUGGUCAGCCACACUGGGACUGAGACGCGGCCCAGACUCCUACGGGAGGCAGCAGUGGGGAAUCUUAGACAAUGGGGGCAACCCUGAUCUAGCCAUGCCGCGUGAGUGAUGAAGGCCGUAGGGUUGUAAAGCUCUUUCAGCUGGGAAGAUAAUGACGGUACCAGCAGAAGAAGCCCCGGCUAACUCCGUG